CCUACGGGUGGGCAGCAGUGGGGAAUAUUGCACAAUGGGGGAAACCCUGAUGCAGCGACGCCGCGUGAGUGAAGAAGUAUUUCGGUAUGUAAAGCUCUAUCAGCAGGGAAGAAAAUGACGGUACCUGAUUAAGAAGCCCCGGCUAUAUACGUGCCAGCAGCCGCGGUAAUACGUAGGGGGCAAGCGUUAUCCGGAUUUACGGGAGGGAAAGGGAGCGUAGACGGCAGGACAAGUCUGGAGUGAAAUGCCGGGGCUUAACCCCGGAACUGCUUUGGAAACUGUGCAGCUAGAGUGCAGGAGAGGUAAGUAGAAUGCCUAGUGUAGCGGUGAAAUGCGUAGAGAUUAGGAGGAACACCAGUGGCGAAGGCGGCGUACUGGACUGUAACUGACGUUGAGGCGCGAAAGCGUGGGGAGCAAACAGGAUUAGAUACCCGAGUAGUC
This 441-nucleotide ribosomal RNA is filed under the name uncultured bacterium. RNAcentral's name for it is "partial 16S ribosomal RNA". It matches the Rfam family "Bacterial small subunit ribosomal RNA", at positions 338 to 795 of the family's 1533-position model. The record is from RNAcentral.